AGAGUCUGAUCCUGGCUCAGAAUGAACGCUGGCGGCGUGCUUAGCACAUGCAAGUCGUACGAGAACGCUCUAGCUCGCUAGAGCAGGUAAAGUGGCGCACGGGUGAGUAACGCGUGGGUAAUCUACCCUGAAAUUGGGGAUAACGUUGCGAAAGCGACGCUCAUACCGAAUAACAUCCAUUUAUCUUCGGAUUUUUGGAUCAAGGGUGGCCUCUACAUGUAAGCUAUUGUUUGGAGAUGAGCCCGCGUACCAUUAGCUUGUUGGUGGGGUAACGGCCUACCAAGGCAACGAUGGUUAGCUGGUCUGAGAGGAUGAUCAGCCACACUGGAACUGACACACGGUCCAGACUCCUACGGGAGGCAGCAGUGAGGAAUUUUGCACAAUGGGGGAAACCCUGACGCACCAACGCCCCGUGAGUGAUGAAGGCCUUCGGGUCGUAAAGCUCUGUCAAGUGGGAAGAACCUAUGCAGUGUUAACAUCACUGUGUACUGACGGUACCACUGAAGGAAGCACCGGCUAACUCCAUGCCAUCAGCCGCGGUAAUACGGGG
Molecule: ribosomal RNA, 550 nt
Filed under: uncultured bacterium
Lineage: Bacteria
Description: bacterial SSU rRNA
Rfam family: Bacterial small subunit ribosomal RNA
Source: RNAcentral